This 73-nucleotide transfer RNA is filed under the name Actinobacteria bacterium RBG_16_67_15. Its description in RNAcentral is "tRNA-Arg". It matches the Rfam family "tRNA". Rfam says of the family: Transfer RNA (tRNA) molecules are approximately 80 nucleotides in length. Their secondary structure includes four short double-helical elements and three loops (D, anti-codon, and T loops). Lineage: Bacteria; Bacillati; Actinomycetota. RNAcentral also lists the same sequence under 3 other names. The record is from RNAcentral.
GCCCUCGUAGCUCAGGGGAGAAGAGCAGUGGUUUCCUAAACCACGUGCGGAGGUUCGAGUCCUCCCGGGGGCA